RNAcentral lists this transfer RNA (65 nucleotides) under Dipodomys ordii (Ord's kangaroo rat). It matches the Rfam family "tRNA". From Rfam's summary of the family: Transfer RNA (tRNA) molecules are approximately 80 nucleotides in length. The record is from Rfam by way of RNAcentral. Lineage: Eukaryota; Metazoa; Chordata; Mammalia; Rodentia; Heteromyidae.
GGUGGCUCAGUGGUAGAGUGUUUGCCUUGCAUGCAUGAGGUCCUGGGUUCGAUUCCUUAGUACCA